GAACAGACGAGGAGCUUGCUCCUCUGACGUUAGCGGCGGACGGGUGAGUAACACGUGGAUAACCUACCUAUAAGACUGGGAUAACUUCGGGAAACCGGAGCUAAUACCGGAUAAUAUAUUGAACCGCAUGGUUCAAUAGUGAAAGACGGUUUUGCUGUCACUUAUAGAUGGAUCCGCGCCGCAUUAGCUAGUUGGUAAGGUAACGGCUUACCAAGGCAACGAUGCGUAGCCGACCUGAGAGGGUGAUCGGCCACACUGGAACUGAGACACGGUCCAGACUCCUACGGGAGGCAGCAGUAGGGAAUCUUCCGCAAUGGGCGAAAGCCUGACGGAGCAACGCCGCGUGAGUGAUGAAGGUCUUCGGAUCGUAAAACUCUGUUAUUAGGGAAGAACAAAUGUGUAAGUAACUAUGCACGUCUUGACGGUACCUAAUCAGAAAGCCACGGCUAACUACGUGCCAGCAGCCGCGGUAAUACGUAGGUGGCAAGCGUUAUCCGGAAUUAUUGGGCGUAAAGCGCGCGUAGGCGGUUUUUUAAGUCUGAUGUGAAAGCCCACGGCUCAACCGUGGAGGGUCAUUGGAAACUGGAAAACUUGAGUGCAGAAGAGGAAAGUGGAAUUCCAUGUGUAGCGGUGAAAUGCGCAGAGAUAUGGAGGAACACCAGUGGCGAAGGCGACUUUCUGGUCUGUAACU
This 691-nucleotide ribosomal RNA is filed under the name uncultured Staphylococcus sp. RNAcentral describes it as "bacterial SSU rRNA". It matches the Rfam family "Bacterial small subunit ribosomal RNA", at positions 68 to 741 of the family's 1533-position model. Lineage: Bacteria; Bacillati; Bacillota; Bacilli; Caryophanales; Staphylococcaceae. The record is from RNAcentral.